RNAcentral lists this transfer RNA (75 nucleotides) under Methylobacter sp. RNAcentral's name for it is "tRNA-Arg". It matches the Rfam family "tRNA". Rfam says of the family: Transfer RNA (tRNA) molecules are approximately 80 nucleotides in length. Their secondary structure includes four short double-helical elements and three loops (D, anti-codon, and T loops). The record is from RNAcentral. Lineage: Bacteria; Pseudomonadati; Pseudomonadota; Gammaproteobacteria; Methylococcales; Methylococcaceae.
GCCCUCGUCGUCUAACGGAUAAGGCUCCGGUUUCCUAAACCGAAAAUAGAGGUUCGAUUCCUCUCGAGGGCACCA